AAUCAACGCUGGCGGCGUGCCUCAGACAUGCAAGUCGAACGCGAAAGUUUCCUUCGGGGAACAAGUAGAGUGGCGCACGGGUGAGUAACACGUAGGUAAUCUACCUUUGGAUGGGGAAUAACAACCGGAAACGGUUGCUAAUACCGCAUAAUGCAGCGGCACCUAAUGGUGACAGUUGUUAAAGCGGGGGAUCGAAAGACCUCGCGUCUGAAGAGGAGCCUGCGGCGGAUUAGCUAGUUGGAAGGUAAUGGCUUACCAAGGCUUCGAUCCGUAGCCGGCCUGAGAGGGCGGUCGGCCACACUGACACUGACAUACGGGUCAGACUCCUACGGGAGGCAGCAGUCGGGAAUUUUGGGCAAUGGGCGAAAGCCUGACCCAGCAACGCCGCGUGAAGGAUGAAAUCCCUCGGGAUGUAGACUUCGCAAGAACGGGAAGAAUAAGCGAGAGUUAAUAUCUUUCGUGAUGACGGUUACCGUUUGUAAGCUCCGGCUAACUCCGUGCCA
This 503-nucleotide ribosomal RNA is filed under the name uncultured bacterium. RNAcentral's name for it is "bacterial SSU rRNA". It matches the Rfam family "Bacterial small subunit ribosomal RNA", at positions 32 to 510 of the family's 1533-position model. The record is from RNAcentral.